UGGGGAAUAUUGCGCAAUGGGGGGAACCCUGACGCAGCCAUGCCGCGUGAAUGAAGAAGGCCUUAGGGUUGUAAAGUUCUUUCGGUAUUGAGGAAGGUUGAUGUGUUAAUAGCACAUCAAAUUGACGUUAAAUACGGAAGAAGCACCGGCUAACUCCGUGCCAGCAGCCGCGGUAAUACGGAGGGUGCGAGCGUUAAUCGGAAUAACUGGGCGUAAAGGGCACGCAGGCGGUUAUUUAAGUGAGGUGUGAAAGCCCCGGGCUUAACCUGGGAAUUGCAUUUCAGACUGGGUAACUAGAGUACUUUAGGGAGGGGUAGAAUUCCACGUGUAGCGGUGAAAUGCGUAGAGAUGUGGAGGAAUACCGAAGGCGAAGGCAGCCCCUUGGGAAUGUACUGACGCUCAUGUGCGAAAGCGUGGGGAGCAAACAGGAUUAGAUACCCUGGUAGUCCACGCAGUAAACGAUGAGUGCUAGUUGUCGGGGGUCAAACCUCGGUGACGCAGCUAACGCAUUAAGCACUCCGCCUGGGGAGUACGUACGCAAGUAUG
RNAcentral lists this ribosomal RNA (546 nucleotides) under uncultured bacterium. RNAcentral describes it as "bacterial SSU rRNA". It matches the Rfam family "Bacterial small subunit ribosomal RNA", at positions 355 to 896 of the family's 1533-position model. The record is from RNAcentral.